Long non-coding RNA from Haliotis rubra (blacklip abalone), 1358 nucleotides. RefSeq lists it as uncharacterized. The record is from RefSeq and is a predicted model, not a curated record. Lineage: Eukaryota; Metazoa; Mollusca; Gastropoda; Lepetellida; Haliotidae. The transcript has 3 exons.
AUAACACAUAAUUAUUAUGGUGUUUUUACAAACACUGUAUGAAAUAGUUUGUUUAUAUAUUUGAUAUUUUCAUCACAUGGGCAUUAUGUCUGUGAAGCAGGUAAAGAAAUUAAUAUGAAAAUCACAAGAGUAGUGUGUGGAAUCCAGGGCUGAGUGGGUCCCCGGUACUCUAUGACAGGUGUAAAAACCAACAGUGGGGUCAGGUGGUCUUGAGUGGGUCCCCGGUACUCAAUGACAGGUGUAAAAACCAACAGUGGGGUCAGGUGGUCAGGUGGGUUGAGUGGAUCCUCGGUACUCUAUGACAGGUGUAAAAACCAACAACAGUGGGGUCAGGUGGUCUGAGUGGGUCCCCAGGGUACUCUAUGACAGGUGUAAAAACCAACAACAGUGGGGUCAGGUGGUCUGAGUGGGUCCCUGGUACUCUAUGACAGGUGUAAAAACCAACAACAGUGGGGUCAGGUGGUCUGAGUGGAUCCCUCGGUACUCUAUGACAGGUGUAAAAACCAACAACAGUGGGGUCAGGUGGGUUGAGUGGAUCCUCGGUACUCUAUGACAGGUGUAAAAACCAACAACAGUGGGGGUCAGGUGGGUUGAGUGGGUCCCCGGUACUCUAUGACAGGUGUAAAAACCAACAGUGGGGUCAGGUGGGUUGAGUGGGUCCCCUGUACUCUAUGACAGGUGUAAAAACCAACAACAGUGGGGAUCAGGUGGUCUGAGUGGGUCCCUGGUACUGUAUGACAGGUGUAAAAAACAAGAGUGGGGAUCAGGUGGUCACAAUGGGUGAGCUGGCAGAUUGUGUAUCAUUAUACCUAAUUGUGUGGACUGUAGGGCUGUAAAACAAGCCAUAUCCCUUUAUAAAUUCAAUUCACUAGUGACUAUUAUUAGAAUCGAAUAUUCAUGAAUUUGGUUUUAUAAAAAGAAUGCUUUACUCUUGAAUUUCUCUGUUACUUAUCAAAGCAUGAUAAAGAUCAAAUAUACCCACUCCAGACAGGAUAACACUCCCAUCUAGCAUUUGAUUUGUGGUCUCUGGUCCUUUUCUUGGUAAACACUAUCAACAUCGUCAAAACAUGUCAAAUAAUGUGUUUUGUUUAUGUUUCACUGAAUAUAACGAAUAAUAGAUGAACUGAGAAAAAUAAUCAUAAUUGCACAAUGACUCUUUUCCCCAUGACACAAGUAUUUCUUCCUCAGUGACAUAGUGACUGAAACAAAUGGCUGCUCCUUCAAAGACAUAUCUGAGGUCAUGUUUGUCAAAACAGUUGACAAAAGUAGAUAAAUAAAAUAAAGAAAGAAAAACAAAAUUAACGUUGAAGAGGGUAGUCAGGUGUCUCUCUCCCACCCACACACACCCACCCACACAC